This 72-nucleotide transfer RNA is filed under the name Camelus bactrianus (Bactrian camel). It matches the Rfam family "tRNA". From Rfam's summary of the family: Transfer RNA (tRNA) molecules are approximately 80 nucleotides in length. Their secondary structure includes four short double-helical elements and three loops (D, anti-codon, and T loops). Further hydrogen bonds mediate the characteristic L-shaped molecular structure. tRNAs have two regions of fundamental functional importance: the anti-codon, which is responsible for specific mRNA codon recognition, and the 3' end, to which the tRNAs corresponding amino acid is attached (by aminoacyl-tRNA synthetases). tRNAs cope with the degeneracy of the genetic code in two manners: having more than one tRNA (with a specific anti-codon) for a particular amino acid; and 'wobble' base-pairing, i.e. permitting non-standard base-pairing at the 3rd anti-codon position. Lineage: Eukaryota; Metazoa; Chordata; Mammalia; Artiodactyla; Camelidae. The record is from Rfam by way of RNAcentral. RNAcentral also lists the same sequence under 3 other names.
GAGGGUAUAACUCAGUCGUAGAGUAUGUGCUUAGCAUGCAUGAGAUCAUGGAUUCAAUCCCCAGUACCUUUA